RNAcentral lists this ribosomal RNA (760 nucleotides) under Pseudoalteromonas sp. Its description in RNAcentral is "bacterial SSU rRNA". It matches the Rfam family "Bacterial small subunit ribosomal RNA", at positions 34 to 797 of the family's 1533-position model. Lineage: Bacteria; Pseudomonadati; Pseudomonadota; Gammaproteobacteria; Alteromonadales; Pseudoalteromonadaceae. The record is from RNAcentral.
CGCGUGCGGAGCUACCAUGCAGUCGAGCGGUAACAAAUAGUACUUGCUACUUUGCUGACGAGCGGCGGACGGGUGAGUAAUGCUUGGGAACAUGCCUUGAGGUGGGGGACAACAGUUGGAAACGACUGCUAAUACCGCAUAAUGUCUACGGACCAAGGGGGGCUUCGGCUCUCGCCUUUAUAUUGGCCCAAGUGGGAUUAGCUAGUUGGUGAGGUAAUGGCUCACCAAGGCGACGAUCCCUAGCUGGUUUGAGAGGAUGAUCACCCACACUGGGACUGAGACACGGCCCACACUCCUACGGGAGGCAGCAGUGGGGAAUAUUGCACAAUGGGCGCAAGCCUGAUGCACCCAUGCCGCGUGUGUGAAAAAGGCCUUCGGGUUGUAAAGCACUUUCACUCAGGAGGAAAGGUUAGUAGUUAAUACCUGCUAGCUGUGACGUUACUGACAGAAGAAGCACCGGCUAACUCCGUGCCAGCAGCCGCGGUAAUACGGAGGGUGCGAGCGUUAAUCGGAAUUACUGGGCGUAAAGCGUACGCAGGCGGUUUGUUAAGCGAGAUGUGAAAGCCCCGGGCUCAACCUGGGAACUGCAUUUCGAACUGGCAAACUAGAGUGUGAUAGAGGGUGGUAGAAUUUCAGGUGUAGCGGUGAAAUGCGUAGAGAUCUGAAAGAAUACCGAUGGCGAAGGCAGCCACCUGGGUCAACACUGACGCUCAUGUACGAAAGCGUGGAGAGCAAACAGGAUUAGAUACUGUGGUACUCA